GAUGAACGCUGGCGGCGUGCCUAACACAUGCAAGUCGAACGGAAAGGCCCUGCUUUUGCGGGGUGCUUGAGAGGCGCACGGGUGUGUAAAACGCGAGUAAACUGCACCUGAAUUUGGGGUAACUCCUCGAAAAUGGGGCUAAUACAGGAUAGGAGCUCCUGCUCCAUGGGGGGGGAUGGAAAGUGUCGGCGGUUGGGGAUGGUAUAGAGGCUUCUCAGCUUGUUGGGGGGGUAGGGUCUUACCAAGGCUUUGAAGGGUAGCCGGCCUUGGAGGGUGACCGGCCACAUGGGGACUGAGGUACGGCCCAGACUCCUACGGGAGGCAGCAGUGGGGAAUCUUGCGGAAUGGGCGGACGCCAGAUGCAGCGACGCCGCGUUCGGGAUGACGUCCUACGGGUUAUAAACCGCUUUCGCAUGUGACGAGGCGUGAGUGACGGUAAUUAAUCAGGAAGCCCCGGCUAACUACGUG
RNAcentral lists this ribosomal RNA (468 nucleotides) under uncultured bacterium. RNAcentral's name for it is "partial 16S ribosomal RNA". It matches the Rfam family "Bacterial small subunit ribosomal RNA", at positions 28 to 507 of the family's 1533-position model. The record is from RNAcentral.